GUCGAGAAUCUUUCACAAUGGGGGCAACCCUGAUGGAGCGACGCCGCGUGGAGGAUAAGGUCUUCGGAUUAUAAACUCCUGUCAUGCGUGAACAAGGUUGCUUGGUUAAUACCUGGGCAAAUUGAUGGUAACGCAAGAGGAAGAGACGGCUAACUCUGUGCCAGCAGCCGCGGUAAUACAGAGGUCUCAAGCGUUGUUCGGAAUCACUGGGCGUAAAGGGUGCGUAGGUGGCGUGGUAAGUCAGAUGUGAAAGCCCGGGGCUCAACCUCGGAACUGCAUCCGAUACUGCCAUGCUAGAGUACUGGAGAGGUGACUAGAAUUCUCGGUGUAGCAGUGAAAUGCGUAGAUAUCGAGAGGAAUACCAAAGGCGUAGGCAGGUCACUGGACAGUUACUGACACUGAGGCACGAAGGCCAGGGGAGCGAACGGGAUUAGAUACCCUUGUAGUCC
This 449-nucleotide ribosomal RNA is filed under the name uncultured bacterium. RNAcentral describes it as "partial 16S ribosomal RNA". It matches the Rfam family "Bacterial small subunit ribosomal RNA", at positions 354 to 796 of the family's 1533-position model. The record is from RNAcentral.